UCACGAUGAUCGAGUAGAAUCGAAUAAUCGUCGCCGGCCGCUUAUGUUAGCGACAAUCGAUUUAUUUACUGUAAAAUCGAUGUUGCUACUUACAUUUCUUUGGGUUAAAAGAAAAUCACAAAGGGACGUUACUCUCAUCGUAAAGUUGGACAAGGAAAUUUUCAAUUUCCCAGGGAAGACACGCUUGUCAGUUUAGCGUUGUCUUUGGUUUAAAAAAAAACAUUCUGACGGCCCGCCAGUGAAGCACAACCUUCACAUGACAACUGUCAUUUGCCAAUUAUACAUGAAGCCGUAUGCAAACAAAGGGUAAUACAACAAAUUUACAGCAGCAUUUCGACAAACAUCACCUUAACACACUAACACUGAUGAAACUAGUCAUACUGUAUCUAGUUCAAAAUAUGAUAAACAAGAUCAACAAGGAAAGGUGGCGUUCAAUGAACGCAGCCCCCACCCGAACCAGUACCAAGAGCCAGCGACAAGGAGCCCAGACCUGCCUUAGUCCAGAGAAAGUGAAAGCAAUAAUUUUUUCUUAAAAUGAACAUGGAUUCUUACUGUUAGAUUUGUGCUUCUUCAAGCUUAGUGAUAGUUAAAGUUCAUUGUGAAUUUAAAUGGUUAAAAAGAGUUAAAUUGCUAUUGUUAAGGAGUUUAUGCUUUGUCUAAACGUUUCAUUUAACUUUUUUUCAGGUUUUACAAACAAUUGAUAUGUAAAUCUAGCCUGUGGUUUGUAAUAUAUGAUCAUAUAUUAUAAGUAAAUAAAAGAAUAGAUAUUUGAAAAGAU
Long non-coding RNA from Ruditapes philippinarum (Manila clam), 778 nucleotides. RefSeq lists it as uncharacterized. NCBI's taxonomy places the organism in Eukaryota, Metazoa, Mollusca, Bivalvia, Venerida, Veneridae. The transcript is spliced from 2 exons. The record is from RefSeq and is a predicted model, not a curated record.